GCCGGGCAUAGUGGUGCAUGCCUGUAAUCCCAGCUACUUGGGAGGCUGAGGCAGGAGAAUCACUUGAGCCUGGGAGGAGGUUCCAGUGAGCAAAGAUUGUGCCACUGCACUCCAUCCUGGGUGACAGAGUGAGACUCUGUCUCAG
Unclassified non-coding RNA from Papio anubis (olive baboon), 145 nucleotides. It matches the Rfam family "Metazoan signal recognition particle RNA". From Rfam's summary of the family: The signal recognition particle (SRP) is a universally conserved ribonucleoprotein. The record is from Ensembl. NCBI's taxonomy places the organism in Eukaryota, Metazoa, Chordata, Mammalia, Primates, Cercopithecidae.